GCCAUGGUAGUAGAGUUAAUAUGCUUGUUUUAGGCACAGGAGACGGGGGUUCACUCCCCCUCAUGGUU
This is a non-coding RNA of Lingula anatina, 68 nucleotides long. NCBI's taxonomy places the organism in Eukaryota, Metazoa, Brachiopoda, Lingulata, Lingulida, Lingulidae. The record is from the annotation of a RefSeq genome assembly.